Long non-coding RNA from Rattus rattus (black rat), 424 nucleotides. RefSeq lists it as uncharacterized. The transcript has 3 exons. The record is from RefSeq and is a predicted model, not a curated record. NCBI's taxonomy places the organism in Eukaryota, Metazoa, Chordata, Mammalia, Rodentia, Muridae.
AGUGGCCUCCUGCUUGACAUAGACUAACACCCGGCAGUCAUUUCACAGGCCCGAGUUGGUGAUUAUUUUUCCUAGGAUGAAACUGAAUUCCGAGAUAAACUGUCUCCAAUCAACAUUAGCCUGAACUACAGUUUGGACGAUUCCACCUUUGAAGAUGGCCUGGAAGUGAAGCCGAUUUUGAACCACUACAGGGAGAAUGUCGUUACUGAGCAGGCUCACAUCCUGGUGGACUGUGGAGAAGACAACCUCUGUGUUCCUGACUUGAGGCUGUCAGCUAGACCAGAUAAGCAGCAGAUAAUUAUUGGGGAUGAAAAUCACCUAAUGCUCAUAAUCAAUGCAAGGAAUGAAGGAGAAGGAGCUUACGAAGCUGAACUCUUCGUCAUGAUUCCCGAAGAAGCAGAUUAUGUUGGGAUCGAGCGCAACA